This 468-nucleotide ribosomal RNA is filed under the name uncultured bacterium. RNAcentral's name for it is "partial 16S ribosomal RNA". It matches the Rfam family "Bacterial small subunit ribosomal RNA", at positions 28 to 507 of the family's 1533-position model. The record is from RNAcentral.
GACGAACGCUGGCGGCGUGCUUAACACAUGCAAGUCGAACGGACAGACCCUGCUUUUGUGGGGUGCUCGAGUGGCGAACGGGUGAGUAACACGUGAGUAACAUGCCCUUGACUUUGGGAUAACUUCAGGGAACUGGGGCUAAUACCGGAUAGGAGCUCCUGCAGCAUGGUGGGGGUUGGAAAGUUUCGGCGGUUGGGGAUGGAAUCGCGGCUUAUCAGCUUGUUGGUCGGGUAGUGGCUUACCAAGGCUUUGAAGGGUAGCCGGCCUGAGAGGGUGACCGGCCACAAUGGGACUGAGAUACGGCCCAGACUCCUACGGGCGGCAGCAGUGGGGAAUAUUGCACAGUGGGCGGAAGCCUGAUGCAGCAACGCCGCGUGCGGGAUGACGGCCUAUGGGUUGUAAACCGCUUUCGCAUGUGACGAAGCGUGAUUGACGGUAACGGGUCAAGAAGCAACGGCUAACUACGUG